RNAcentral lists this ribosomal RNA (465 nucleotides) under uncultured bacterium. RNAcentral describes it as "partial 16S ribosomal RNA". It matches the Rfam family "Bacterial small subunit ribosomal RNA", at positions 28 to 507 of the family's 1533-position model. The record is from RNAcentral.
GACGAACGCUGGCGGCGUGCUUAACACAUGCAAGUCGAACGGAAAGGCCCUGCUUGCAGGGUACUCGAGUGGCGAACGGGUGAGUAACUCGUGGGUGAUCUGCCCUGCACUUCGGGAUAGGCCUGGGAAACUGGGUCUAAUACCGGAUAGGAGCCAUCUUUAGUCAGAUGGUUGGAAAGUUUUUUCGGUGUAGGAUGAGCUCGCGGCCUAUCAGCUUGUUGGGGGGGUAAUUGCCUACCAAAGCGGCGACGGGUGGCCGGCCUGAGAGGGUGGAAGGCCACAUUGGGACUGAGAUGCGGCCCAGACACCUACGGGAGGCAGCAGUGGGGAAUAUUGCACGAUGGGCGCCAGCCUGAUGCAGCGACGCCGCGUGGGGGAUGACGGCCUUCGGGGUGUAAACUCCUUUCGCGAGGGACGAAGCUUUUUGUGACGGUACCUAGAUAAGAAGCACCGGCUAACUACGUG